This 253-nucleotide ribosomal RNA is filed under the name uncultured bacterium. Its description in RNAcentral is "partial 16S ribosomal RNA". It matches the Rfam family "Bacterial small subunit ribosomal RNA", at positions 524 to 776 of the family's 1533-position model. The record is from RNAcentral.
UACGUAGGGGGCAAGCGUUGUCCGGAUUUAUUGGGCGUAAAGAGCGUGUAGGCGGUUAGGUAGGUCCGUUGUGAAAACUCGAGGCUCAACCUCGAGACGUCGGUGGAAACCGUUUGGCUAGAGUCCGGAAGAGGAGAGUGGAAUUCCCGGUGUAGCGGUGAAAUGCGCAGAUAUCGGGAAGAACACCCGUGGCGAAGGCGGCUCUCUGGGACGGUACUGACGCUGAGACGCGAAAGCGUGGGGAGCGAACAGG